This 638-nucleotide long non-coding RNA is filed under the name Rhinopithecus bieti (black snub-nosed monkey). RNAcentral's name for it is "lncRNA (ENSRBIG00000045878.1)". The record is from RNAcentral. Lineage: Eukaryota; Metazoa; Chordata; Mammalia; Primates; Cercopithecidae.
AACAUUCUGAAAUGGGGGGAAAUUGUAUCCAUUCAUUUUAUUUUAUUUUUUUCUGCAGAUUUGGAAGAGACAGUGUCUGUUGGGGAAGUCCUGGUGAGGGACAGAUGGCAUGCUCAAGUGUUUAUAAAGGUGAGGAUGGGGGCAGGGGACCCCCCAAGGAGAUGGAAGGUGGUGGCAGGGGGUCAUCACCACCCUGGCUCCAGUGAGUGGUUUCUAGGAUGCAGAGAACACGGCCGGGGCACACACACUGUGGCCAAAGUCUCCCUCUGAUAUCCUGGCCUGGAGCCUGGGGCUGUGCACAGGAGGACUGGACUAGAGGAUGUACUGGUUGCUUUGUCCUUGAAACCCUCACUUUUUCUUCUCCCAAGUUUGCUGCAAGUCUCAGUGGGAAGGAAGGUGGCCGGGGCUUGCUGAAAGAGAAAAAAGAAUCUCUUGUGAGAGUCUUUGCAAACAGUCCUUGGGCACCCCAGCCAGGCUUGGCCUGGACACAUACAUGCGCAGUGGACCAGCAGCUCUGCCAUCCUUCAGGACACAGACGGGAGUCGGCCCUCGAGUUGGAGAGUGGCAGUUGGCACAACAAAGGGACCAGCAAUGAUCCAGAUGGUGGCUGUGCUCUGUCUACGUGGGUCCCAGAGUGA